This 117-nucleotide ribosomal RNA is filed under the name uncultured bacterium. RNAcentral's name for it is "partial 16S ribosomal RNA". It matches the Rfam family "Bacterial small subunit ribosomal RNA", at positions 1365 to 1482 of the family's 1533-position model. The record is from RNAcentral.
AAUACGUUCCCGGCCUUGUACACACCGCCCGUCACGUCACGAAAGUCGGUAACACCCGAAGCCGGUGGCCCAACCUUAGGGAGGGAGCCGUCGAAGGUGGGACUGGCGAUUGGGACG